GACGAACGCUGGCGGCGUGCUUAACACAUGCAAGUCGAGCGGUAAGGCCCUUUCGGGGGUACACGAGCGGCGAACGGGUGAGUAACACGUGGGUGACCUGCCCUUAGCUCUGGGAUAAGCCUGGGAAACUGGGUCUAAUACCGGAUAUGACUCCAUAACGCAUGUUGUGGGGUGGAAAGCCUUGUGCGGCUAGGGAUGGGCCCGCGGCCUAUCAGCUUGUUGGUGGGGUGAUGGCCACCAAGGCGACGACGGUAGCCGGCCUGAGAGGGCGACCGGCCACACUGGGACUGAGACACGGCCCAGACUCC
This 308-nucleotide ribosomal RNA is filed under the name uncultured bacterium. RNAcentral's name for it is "bacterial SSU rRNA". It matches the Rfam family "Bacterial small subunit ribosomal RNA", at positions 28 to 339 of the family's 1533-position model. The record is from RNAcentral.